Molecule: RNA transcript, 2782 nt
Organism: Brachypodium distachyon (stiff brome)
Lineage: Eukaryota; Viridiplantae; Streptophyta; Magnoliopsida; Poales; Poaceae
Exons: 2
Source: RefSeq, a predicted model, not a curated record
CCCAGGUCCGCCCGAACCUCGAACCAGACGUAACUUUCUCUCCCGUGAUUCUCAAAAGAAAAAAUGAGAGGAGCUGCGCGAGGGGGCGGCUGAGUCCGUCGAGCAGGCGGCGUGGCGGCACCCUCCGGCCAUAGUCCUCGUCAGCUUCGCCGACGACGCCUCCUCGCUGACGCCUUGCUGGAGACAAUCGAACUCCGCUCCAUGGCCGGCACGCACCCUUGGCCUGGCGUGGUCGACCACGUCUGCUCCCGCCCUCUCGCCGGCAGCUUCUCCCUCGGCCGCGUCGCUGACCUCGCUGCCACCGUGCCCAGCGACAUCGGCCAAUCCCGUCACCGCCUUGCUGCGCAUGUACUUGCCGCCGCAGACGCCACCUGGUAUGUCGGUCAUGCUUCCGCUGAAUGUUUGCUGGAGGAAUCGAUGGUCUUUGUUUUCUGUAUGCUCGUGUUUUUCCUUGUCUUGCGAUCAGAUUUGAAGCUGCUAUCACAACUGGCGUAGUUAAUUGUAUUAGCCAUGAGAAAUAUCAUGUUGGAUCAAGUUGACCUGCACCUGUUUGAUGGAAUGCCCGUAAGUGUCUUUUUUAGUAUACUGCAGGUUUCUUCUUUAUUUCCUUCUCUGCAAGCUUUUAUUGUCUGCACAAGUAUUUAAUUUGAUGCCACUGUUUUAGCUUAUGAAAAAAUUGCAUAGUUGAGUUGGCCUGACCGUAUCCUCUGUUUGACUGUCCUGUUUCGAGCUCAUCUGUAUUUUUUUAUUUGGAGCAGAAUUCCAGCGUGAGGGGCCUUGCAGCGGCAAGGAGAAUUUUAUUGCAGGUUGAUCAGAAUCUAAUUUCUGGUGCUAUUAUGUUAGCACAAAGUUGCAGCUUGUUACUAGAAGUGGCAAGAAGAAUACAAGUUUUAUUGUUGUCCCUUUUCUUGGCUCGGGACCGUUUGAACUUUGAAGUGCUAGCCUGAUAUAAUAUACUCCGUACUAAUUUUAUAUUGCAGAUAUUAAAUCAAAAUGCUUGUUUGCUUCUCCAGUCAAUAUGUACUUGUUUAAAGUUCGCAACAAGGUAUGUCAAUUUGUGAACUGCAAAUAAACAUUUAUGAUGUUCUUUUUUGUCCAUCUGCUUUUACGGAUGCCCUUGUUAUGCAGCUGCUCUUAUGGUAGUUGGAACUGGAAGUAUUCGAGUAAUAGUAAAUUUUUGCUGCACUGUGUUGCUCAUAGUGACUUAGUGAAUAAACUAGAGAAAAUCCUAUUAAUAUGUGAUCUGGAGCUACAAAGGUUUUGCACGAAAAUAACAAGCGGCAGUGGUUAACAACUAUCUUACUGAGUCUCUCGUUGCCCUGGGUUUUACAAGACAUUCUCAAUGGUAUUGUUUGGUAUCGCAACCUGAUUUAUUUGGUACUUUUGGCAAUUUAAAUGAUAGGAUGACUGAAGUCCUUCUUUGCAUGCUUAGGCACCACCCUGCAGCUUGUGUGCUACUGCCCAUGAUUCCACCUGUUAAUAGAAUCUUUGGAUUUCCACUGGUUUUUACAAUGUUUAGAUUAUUAAGAAUCCACUGGUUUUUUCAAUGUUUGGAUGAUCGCGAAACUGGACACAAGAGGUUUUUAGGUUGCUUAUGUUGUGCAGCAUUUUUGGAUCUUCCUUUUCAUUUAUCUGGUCAAUCUGGUGACUGAGUACAAGCAACAGAAAAGGAACUAACUACCUGAAUCCAUAGACAUCAACUAAAUAAACUAGUUAUUCACAGAGCACAGGCCUGCAGCUACUGACACUGAAAACCAACAAUGCCAUGACAUGAACAGUACUGAUGCUACAUGGCUGUUUUUAGCCGCUGAGGUCCAACUGAGCAAGGGGUGUGCUUGGAUGCUCUGAUAUCAUUAAUGUUGGAUUCACCUUCGAAUCAGAUUGUGUGAUUUACCUCUUUACCUGAAUGUCUACUGAUUGUCUUCGAUCUUUGUAUAUAUGAAUCUUUCCCUAGGAUUUAUGAUGAAUAUACUGAUGAAAGAGAUAAUUUGCAAAUAUAAGCUAGCAGAUUGCUCUGAGAUGAUUGCAAUGUCCAUUUUUAUUACUUUUACAUGAUACUGACAUUGAACGGACUAGUGAUUUGGCUUUGAAGACAUGCUUUCUACAGGCCAGUAUGUCUGAGUAUUAGGUUUCAUUUCAGGACAUGAUUGAUAUUGCUGUGAGUAUGUGUUGAUAAAAAAACGAGUCACACAGCCUUCAAUAAAUUGUCAAACUUGAUUGUGUCUGGUUACUGCAGUAAUUUGUGUUCGUCAGCUGGUCUUUAUAUAACUACUUUCUUCUGUAGGACUUUGAGGAAGGCAGUGGACUUAAAAAGGUUGCUCAGCUUUUGAAGGAUGUGCAAGUAGAAGAGCAUGUUGAAAUGUGGGGAGUUUGUACUGCUGCUUAUCGGACAUGUUUACGUGAAGGAAAACACUCCUAUUCACAAACAAAUGAAAAAUCUAUUUGGGGAGCAGUGUGUCGGUCAUAUGGGCCGCGAGUCAGUUUGGAUCCACCCUCGGCUCGGAGCAGAGGCAGAUGGCCCUGGAAAUACAAGCAAGGAGAGUUGUCAAGUCUUCAGAGCCCUACUAGGAAAAUGUCACCAAUUUGUUAUGCAUGCUUCGCUAUUUUCCAGGAUGACAGUGCAAAACCUUGCGUGCUCAUCCUGCUCAUCGCAAAGCCUCCGGUCUUUCUUUUUCUGUGUAAAGCCAGUCUUGCGUUCGCUGUUUGUAUAAACUUCUUUGAAAAUAUUGUACGAAUAUUUGUUUCAGCUUUGUUGAAAAUGCCAUUCUUAGCUUUAUUUGAA